AGCCAUGCAUGUCUAAGUACAAACUUUUACACGGUGAAACCGCGAAUGGCUCAUUAAAUCAGUUAUGGUUUAUUAGAUGGUGCUAUCCUACUUGGAUAACUGUGGUAAUUCUAGAGCUAAUACAUGCUACAAAGCUCCGACCCUCGUUGGAAAGAGCGCUUUUAUUAGAUCAAGACCAACCGGUUUCGCCUUCGGGUGUUGCCGUCGGAUUGAUGACUCUGGAUAACCUUUGCCGAUCGUAUGGCCCCGCGCCGACGACGCAUCUUUCAAAUGUCUGCCCUAUCAACUUUCGUUGGUAGGUGAUUUGCCUACCAAGGUGUUUACGGGUAACGGGGGAUCAGGGUUCGAUCCCGGAGAGGGAGCAUGAGAAACGGCUACCACAUCCAAGGAAGGCAGCAGGCGCGCAAAUUACCCACUCUUGGCACGAGGAGGUAGUGACGAAAAAUAACAAUACGGGACUCUUUCGAGGCCCCGUAAUUGGAAUGAGUACACUCUAAACCCGUUAACGAGGAUCUAUUGGAGGGCAAGUCUGGUGCCAGCAGCCGCGGUAAUUCCAGCUCCAAUAGCGUAUAUUAAAGCUGUUGCAGUUAAAAAGCUCGUAGUCGGAUUUCGGGCGGCGGCCAAUGGUUCGGUUCCGUGCCGAUACUGCUGGUCGCGGCCUCCACGCCGGUCGUCUUUCGGUGCUCUUAGUUGAGUGCCUUAAGUAGCCGGAGCGUUUACUUUGAAAAAAUUAGAGUGUUCAAGGCAGGCCACAAGCCUGAAUGAUGGUGCAUGGAAUAAUGGAAUAGGACCUCGGUUCUAUUUUGUUGGUCUUCGGAACUGGAGGUAAUGAUUAAUAGGGACGGACGGGGGCAUUCGUAUUGCGGCGUUAGAGGUGAAAUUCUUGGAUCGUCGCAAGACGGACUACUGCGAAAGCAUUUGCCAAGAAUGUUUUCAUUGAUCAAGAGCGAAAGUCAGAGGAUCGAAGACGAUCAGAUACCGUCCUAGUUCUGACCAUAAACGAUGCCGACUAGCGAUCCGGCUCCGUUGCUUCAUAAGACUGGCCGGGCAGCUCCCGGGAAACCAAAGUCUAUGGGUUCCGGGGGAAGUAUGGUUGCAAAGCUGAAACUUAAAGGAAUUGACGGAAGGGCACCACCAGGAGUGGAGCCUGCGGCUUAAUUUGACUCAACACGGGAAAACUCACCCGGCCCGGACACCGUAAGGAUUGACAGAUUGAAAGCUCUUUCUUGAUUCGGUGGGUGGUGGUGCAUGGCCGUUCUUAGUUGGUGGAGCGAUUUGUCUGGUUAAUUCCGAUAACGAA
Molecule: ribosomal RNA, 1300 nt
Filed under: Oerstedia sp. Sakhalin 43
Lineage: Eukaryota; Metazoa; Nemertea; Enopla; Monostilifera; Oerstediidae
Description: SSU rRNA
Rfam family: Eukaryotic small subunit ribosomal RNA
Source: RNAcentral